RNAcentral lists this unclassified non-coding RNA (250 nucleotides) under Taphrina tormentillae. Its description in RNAcentral is "partial internal transcribed spacer region". The stretch from base 1 to 46 matches the Rfam family "Eukaryotic small subunit ribosomal RNA", at positions 1786 to 1831 of the family's 1831-position model. The record is from RNAcentral. Lineage: Eukaryota; Fungi; Ascomycota; Taphrinomycetes; Taphrinales; Taphrinaceae. RNAcentral also lists the same sequence under 1 other name.
AAGUCGUAACAAGGUUUCCGUAGGUGAACCUGCGGAAGGAUCAUUAAUGAAAGUCUGGGCUUCGGCCCUCUCUCUUCUACACACUUGUGAAUCUACACUGUUGCUUUGGCAGGUAUCCUGGAUGGCGCAAGCUUGAAAGGUUAAACUGAAAGGUGCCUGCCAAAGACAUUUAUCCACCCUUUUUAUAUCGUCUGAUUUUUGUUUAAAACAAAUUAUAAUAAAACUUUCAACAAUGGAUCUCUUGGCUCUG